CCUACGGGUGGCAGCAGUGGGGAAUAUUGCACAAUGGUGGAAACACUGAUGCAGCGACGCCGCGUGAGCGAUGAAGGAUCUCGGUAUGUAAAGCUCUAUCAGCAGGGAAGAAAAUGACGGUACCUGACUAAGAAGCCCCGGAUAACUACGUGCAAGCAGCCGCGGUACUACGUAGGGGGCAAGCGUUAUCCGGAUUUACUGGGUGUAAAGGGAGCGUAGACGGCGGUUCAAGCCAGUUGUGAAAGGCUGGGGCUCAACCCCGGGACUGCAUUUCGAACUGUGCUGCUAGAGUGUCGGAGAGGCAGGCGGAAUUCCUAGUGUAGCGGUGAAAUGCGUAGAUAUUAGGAGGAACACCAGUGGCGAAGGCGGCCUGCUGGACGAUUACUGACGUUGAGGCUCGAAAGCGUGGGGAGCAAACAGGAUUAGAUACCCCAGUAGUC
RNAcentral lists this ribosomal RNA (440 nucleotides) under uncultured bacterium. Its description in RNAcentral is "partial 16S ribosomal RNA". It matches the Rfam family "Bacterial small subunit ribosomal RNA", at positions 338 to 795 of the family's 1533-position model. The record is from RNAcentral.